GGGUGAUUAGCUCAGUUGGGAGAGCACCUCCCUUACAAGGAGGGGGUCACUGGUUCGAGCCCGGUAUCGCCCACCA
This 76-nucleotide transfer RNA is filed under the name Enterovibrio norvegicus. RNAcentral's name for it is "tRNA-Val". It matches the Rfam family "tRNA". Rfam says of the family: Transfer RNA (tRNA) molecules are approximately 80 nucleotides in length. Their secondary structure includes four short double-helical elements and three loops (D, anti-codon, and T loops). Further hydrogen bonds mediate the characteristic L-shaped molecular structure. tRNAs have two regions of fundamental functional importance: the anti-codon, which is responsible for specific mRNA codon recognition, and the 3' end, to which the tRNAs corresponding amino acid is attached (by aminoacyl-tRNA synthetases). tRNAs cope with the degeneracy of the genetic code in two manners: having more than one tRNA (with a specific anti-codon) for a particular amino acid; and 'wobble' base-pairing, i.e. permitting non-standard base-pairing at the 3rd anti-codon position. RNAcentral also lists the same sequence under 1 other name. Lineage: Bacteria; Pseudomonadati; Pseudomonadota; Gammaproteobacteria; Vibrionales; Vibrionaceae. The record is from RNAcentral.